Molecule: ribosomal RNA, 238 nt
Filed under: uncultured bacterium
Lineage: Bacteria
Description: partial 16S ribosomal RNA
Rfam family: Bacterial small subunit ribosomal RNA
Source: RNAcentral
UGGCGGACGGGUGAGUAACGCGUGGGUAACCUGCCUCAUACAGGGGGAUAACAGUUAGAAAUGACUGCUAAUACCGCAUAAGACCACAGUACCGCAUGGUACAGGGGUAAAAACUCCGGUGGUAUGAGAUGGACCCGCGUCUGAUUAGGUAGUUGGUGGGGUAACGGCCUACCAAGCCGACGAUCAGUAGCCGACCUGAGAGGGUGACCGGCCACAUUGGGACUGAGACACGGCCCAA